This 546-nucleotide ribosomal RNA is filed under the name uncultured Nitrososphaerota archaeon. RNAcentral describes it as "uncultured thaumarchaeote partial 16S ribosomal RNA". Lineage: Archaea; Thermoproteati; Nitrososphaerota. The record is from RNAcentral.
UACAACGCACUAUUUAUUCAUAGUAGUAGUUGCUGUAAACAGUACUUUAUUGACUAUUAACGCAGGAGACUACAUUUUCUACACAGACUGGGCUUUGACUUCCUUUUUAGUAUUUUCAAUUUCACAAUCUACAAUGCUUGUAGUUGGUGCAAUAUAAUACAUGUUAUUUACAGUAGUUCCAGGAACAGCUACAUAUUAUGAAACAAUUAUGACAAUAUACACAUGGGUUGAAAAAUGAUCAUAGUUUUCACUUCGUUAGCCAAAUUACUUUAUUGGGCUACCAGAAGAAACAAGCAUGCAGCAAUUAUCAUUGGUGGAACUUUGGUAGGAUUAUCAUUACCAAUAUUCAAUAUGAUAAAUCUCUUGCUUGUAAAGGAUCCUCUAGAAAUGGCAUUUAAGUAUCCAAGACCGACGUUACCACCAUAUAUGACACCAAUUGAACCUCAGGUAGGAAAGUUCUAUAACAGUCCCGUUGCGUUAGGCUCCGGUGCAGGAGCAGUCUUAUGUGUACCUAUAGCAGCACUAGGUGCUAAGUUAAAUACAUGG